This 498-nucleotide ribosomal RNA is filed under the name uncultured bacterium. RNAcentral describes it as "partial 16S ribosomal RNA". It matches the Rfam family "Bacterial small subunit ribosomal RNA", at positions 28 to 507 of the family's 1533-position model. The record is from RNAcentral.
GACGAACGCUGGCGGCGUGCCUAAUACAUGCAAGUCGAGCGGACGGAUGGGAGCUUGCUCCCAGACCGUCAGCGGCGGACGGGUGAGUAACACGUGGGCAACCUGCCUGUAAGACUGGGAUAACUCCGGGAAACCGGGGCUAAUACCGGAUAACUCUUUCCCUCACAUGAGGGAAAGCUGAAAGAUGGCAUCUCGCUAUCACUUACAGAUGGGCCCGCGGCGCAUUAGCUAGUUGGUGAGGUAACGGCUCACCAAGGCGACGAGGCGUAGCCGACCUGAGAGGGUGAUCGGCCACACUGGGACUGAGACACGGCCCAGACUCCUACGGGAGGCAGCAGUAGGGAAUCUUCCGCAAUGGACGAAAGUCUGACGGAGCAACGCCGCGUGAGUGAUGAAGGUUUUCGGAUCGUAAAACUCUGUUGUCAGGGAAGAACAAGUACCGGAGUAACUGCCGGUACCUUGACGGUACCUGACCAGAAAGCCACGGCUAACUACGUG